GUUAGGAAUAUUGGACAAUGGGCGCAAGCCUGAUCCAGCCAUGCCGCGUGAGUGAUGAAGGCCUUCGGGUUGUAAAGCUCUUUAGCCGAUGAUUAUAAUGACUGUAGUCGGAAAAUAAGCCCCGGCUAACUUCGUGCCAGCAGCCGCGGUAAUACGAAGGGGGCGAGCGUUAUUCGGAAUCACUGGGCGUAAAGCGUGCGUAGGCGGCUUUGCAAGUUGGGAGUGAAAGCCCAGGGCUCAACCCUGGAAUUGCUCUCAAAACUGCAAGGCUCGAAUUCGGGAGAGGAUAGCGGAAUUGUCAGUGUAGCAGUGAAAUGCGUAGAUAUUGACAGGAACACAAGUGGCGUAAGCGGCUAUCUGGACCGAUAUUGACGCUGAGGCACGAAAGCGUGGGGAUCAAACAGGAUUAGAAACCCUAGUAGUCC
This 425-nucleotide ribosomal RNA is filed under the name uncultured bacterium. Its description in RNAcentral is "partial 16S ribosomal RNA". It matches the Rfam family "Bacterial small subunit ribosomal RNA", at positions 354 to 796 of the family's 1533-position model. The record is from RNAcentral.